UAGGAGGCGGAGGAGAAGGGAGGGAGGCAAGUCUCCACCACUGAAAAGAAAGGACCUCAAAGAAUCCUGUGAGCCUGGAUGUCCACGGUCAAGAUCAGAGACACACACUCAUAGCAAACACAGCUGGGAUAAUAGCUGUGGGGGCUCAGGCAGAUUUGCUUCUCAGUUAUAAAAAGAUGUCAACAGCCAUCAGUACCUACGUCUUCCACCGUUCCGUGUCCUCAGAUCCUGAGGGCUCAUGGAGGCAGAAUAAAUGCCUUCUCUAUAUGUAUGUCGUGAUAAAAGGAUGUGGGCCAUGCUAUAGGAUCCUAUACACCUAUACACUACCGCGACAGACACUCUAAUCUCCAUAUUUGUGGUCCCCACCGACCUCAAGCA
This is a non-coding RNA of Ictidomys tridecemlineatus (thirteen-lined ground squirrel), 378 nucleotides long. NCBI's taxonomy places the organism in Eukaryota, Metazoa, Chordata, Mammalia, Rodentia, Sciuridae. The record is from RefSeq and is a predicted model, not a curated record.